This is a long non-coding RNA of Sarcophilus harrisii (Tasmanian devil), 5057 nucleotides long. The record is from Ensembl. NCBI's taxonomy places the organism in Eukaryota, Metazoa, Chordata, Mammalia, Dasyuromorphia, Dasyuridae.
UGCUAUAGAAAUCUUUAAUUGUGUAGUAUGUUUAAUAAAAUCUUAGGUAAACAUCAGUUUGGACUACUUUAUAAUUUUACUUGAAGCCAAUAUAUAUCAUUACUACCCCUACUUCUCCUUCUCUUAUCACCAACCCAGUCAAAAUAUAUAUAACUCAGAAAAUAGCAGGGACAGAAAAAUGAAGCUCCAAUGCAUUAUUACCAAGUAAAGUUUUGCUCCCUUCGCUCACAUUACCAUCAUGAAAAUAGAAGCACUAAAUAAGGCUUUUAAAGACAGGUUUAUUUAUAAGUGCAUGAAAUUGAAUACCCAAAAUUUAUUAAAAUACUGUAUAUUACAAAGUUUUAAUCCAUAAAUCUGUAAUGACAUUUAACUGCUGGAUUCAUUUAUAACAGUUGUUUGUCCAUGUUAUUAAAGAAUUAACCCUGUAUAUACAAAUGACAAGUACCAUAUAUGGAUCCCAGAAACAGUCUUAUGUUCAGACACUGGGUGAUACAAAUUGUGCAUCUUUGCUUUAAAGCAAUAAAGAGGAACCUGUAACCUGUCUUUGCAGACCAACUUUCUAUAACCAAAAUAAUUUGCAUAUGUUUAUUGCUGCCCUUUGAAGAAAAUGGGAGUGCAAGGAACUUAAAAUGAACAUCUAAGACCAUACUAACAUGUUUACUGAAAUUAAAAUACAUAAAAUUCACUGCAAAACUUUUAUUGUCCAAGAAAUUACACUAUAUACAUAAUGAGGUUUAUACAUGAAUAGGGAAAUUAAAAAAUUGUUUUUAUAAAAUUAAAAAUCAAUAGUAUACAAUAUUUACAACUUCAGUUAUGUAUUAUAAACAUAAAUUUUUGCCAUCGUUCAAAUUAAUUUAAACUGUAUAUGUAAACAUGCAGUAUACAUACACUCAUAGUGUAGGUUAUAUUCUUAACUGUAGGGGAAAACCAUUUUCACAUAAUAUAGGGUAUUUCUAAAGAUGUAUUUAUUUUUACAGCAUUGAAUUACUUCCUAGCUUUUAUUGUCCCUAUUUUUAAGCUUCACAGUACAUUAAAAAUCUUUAUAACAAAAUAAAUCCCUGAUGAUAAAAUUAUUUCUACAGGUUACAUAAAAUGUCUGCCCCAGGAGUUCAAUAUAAAACUAACACUGCCACGCUAAAUUCUCUCAUUGGCAAUAAGAAUAAAAUAAGAAUCUACAUUUGAUUUUCUCGGCUACAUUCUUCCCCAUUACACAUCAGCCUGGUAAAGGAAAGCACAAAGACCAAAAAACAAACAAAUAAACAAAAAACACACACACAAAAACAAAAACAAAAAUUCAAAGAAAGUAUUUCUCAACUACUUUACAUAAUGGACAAUGGCAGAGAUAACUAAUAACCUCCAAAUCAGAUUAGUAGUAGUAUAAGAAUCAUAUUGUCAAGGAUUUUAUUCUCUACAAAUUUGAUUUAAUUUCUUGAUAUCACACCUCAUCAUCCUAUCUUAAAGCACAAGUAACUCAAGCAAGUCCUAUUAUCCCUUUUUGGUCCUGAAUCCAGUAAAUUCACUUUGCAAAUAUGUCUUAACUCUUAGAAGGCAUUAAGACACCAUUUAGCACUGAAAACAGAACAAUAAUUUGCUAAAUGAUUCUUAAGUGACCUCAGAAUUAACACAAUUUUAAAGUGAGCCUUUUACUGAUCCUAUCAAUACUCUACACUGUUGCAAUUUAAAUAUACUGAUUUUUACUGAAAUUAUUUAAGGUUUAAUUUUUUUUUCUAGAAUGAUUAAAUCUGAAACUAGAUUUACUGUUACAAUAAUCUGAAUUCAACCAAGUUACUAAAUGAAUAUGUAUACAAAUCCAAACACUUAAAUAAUGUUAAAUGAUGACUACAUGCAUGUUUACACAGCGAUUAAUAAUGGAGAGAGUUAUUUUUAAUUCUACAUGGUAAAUCCAUGAAAUACAAAAAAUCCAGUUCUAAAAAUUUUUUUCCAACAAUUACUUUCUUAAAAUAGCACUUUUAUCAAAGAUAAGUAAAAGCAUCAUUCAAAAAACUUACAACUUAAAAGGAAAAUCUUUUUUUUAAUUCAGGGAAGUCGAUAUAUUUUGAUUUUUACAAAGAUAUUUCGAAAAUAUUUCAUUCCAAAGACACAUGACAAUGACUACAAACAAUUUCAUUUACACACAAAAUGAAAAUGCUACUAUUUAACGGUAGUGUUUUCAAGCUAACAUUGUUGUAGGUCCAAUGACUGAAGUCAAGCCAUAAUUUGAUUAGAAAGAAAUGACCAAUAUAGAAUAAUAAUUAGGAAAUUAAAACGUAAAAUAAUGAAAUAAAGGGCUGAACAAUUAAGGAAUCUGGAUAAUUGUAAAUUACAAGCAAUAGCUUGAUCUUAAGCAUCAUAUUUUUUAUUUUACUUAUGUACAUAUUUCCUGAAAAGGAUGCAGUCAUUUUGACAUCAAGAAUGUACUGGGUUAAUAUGUAAAAGGUUUAUAUAUAUAUAUAUAUACAUAUAUAUAAAUGGUUCACAAAACUGACUUCCCCACAAUAUUUGUUUUGCCCUAAAAACAAUAAAUACAUAGCCAUAAGACUAUUUAGAAUAUAUUCUUCUUAAUCAGGGUGCAAAUACAUGGUACACUGAAUUAUAUAUAAUUAAAUUAAAACAAAAUUUCCAGGUAAAGGACUUUAAAAUAGUAACAAAAUUGACUCUCAUAAUAUCCUCAAAGGAUACAAAAGUUGAACCUGUGUAAACUUAUAUAAAUGGUAAAAUGACUUCCUUAAUUUCAAAGCAAAAGAAAAUUAUAGUCAUUAAAUCGACUUUAGUGUUUCCACUAAGUUAAUAUAAAAUUUGUUGGUAUAUCUAAGGUAUAGUGGAAACAUAAGACAAACUAAAUAUCAUUCCCCAAUAGCAAGUUGAUAAUAGAUCAAGUAAUUUAAUCAGUCUCACUAUUCAAUCUUGACAAUAAUAAAAAUAUCGUAUUCUCUACAAAUAGAGAUCAUCAAAGAGAAAUGUAACAUUUGAGAUCCUUAGAAGGUAGGACUAGAUAAUCUAUGAUCUCUCCUAGAUCAUAUUUUGAUUAAAUUUUAUAAGACUAUAACCUCAGUCCAAAUCUUUAGUACUGACUUACUAAAAAGGCUGAAUAAAAUUUAACUGCUGAUAUACAAUAUAUUAGGAGCAUGUGUGUAACAUAAUGAAAAACAAUAACAUGAUUUGUUUUACUGUAAAAUAGUACAAAAUAUUUUAAAAUCUUCAUAGUAGUUUAUUUACUCACAUAAUUUCUUUCCAAUUUCGCUCUAAAAUUUUGAGGGAGUUACGAAUUUGGGGGGGGGGACAGAAAUUCUGUGAACAAGCUUGAGGUCUGAUUCACUGCUACUGUCAUUAAUUUUCAUUCAGUCUAAAAUUCUUACUCCCUUACAGUAAAACAUGGAUUUAUUCACCCACAGUUAAAUAGUAAUUAAAUAUUACAGUUAUUUGUGAUAUAGUUCUCUCAACAUUUUUUCAUCAUUUCUUUGUGCUUAGGGCAAAAUACUGCUUUAAAUAAAAUUUGUCAAAAAAGCAAAGUAAAAGAAAUUUGCAAAAUUGUGUUUAUUUUUAGGACUUUUUUUUUUUUAAUUUACAUUGUAUGUACAAAAAAAAAUAUUUCCUUUCAAGUGUCAAAGUUAGGGACUGAAGUACCUUUAAUUCAGUAAAGGAAGGUAACCACUGUCUUUCCAAUUCACUGCUCAUGAUUUCAUAAUUGGCAGUAUAUACUAAGGUGCUUUUACAAAACCCAGUACCUUCAAUGAGAAGGAAGGAGGGCAACAGAGAUAAUAUGAUAAAAUAACCUGGAGGGAUGAUAGGACUGAGGAUUAAUUAGUUCUGCCAUCUUUUCACUCCAGCCAAAUCCUUAUUUCCCUAUUUGUCUAUACUGGAAAAAAAAGAAGAGGGUGUUCUACCGAAGUGUUUGCUUAUAAUGAUGGGUCCUUCAAAGGGGUGUUAAAAGUUACAAUGGAAAGAUGCCAAUAAAUAAACAGAUUCUUCUCAAGAAGCUUGUGGGAGGAAUAUGCCAAAAAGAAAAAAAAGAAGUGAGUGAAUAAAUCUGGAAUAGUUGCAACAAACCCAAAUGGUAUUUCUUAGAAAUUAUGAAUGACCAUUAAUUAUUAGCUUAUUCACUUAAAAUGAAAAUAUGGAAUUAUAUUUCAUACUGAAUAAGCUGAAAAAAUUCUAAUUUGGACACAAAAAGAAGUGGGAUUCCAAGUUGGCAUCCAUAUCUUUUUUGAACUCGGAACUAGCUUGUUAUAUUUUCACUUGAUUUAUUCUUUUAAAAAAGAAUGUAGUGGUUAAUAAGUCAUCUUAUUUCUUUUCUUUUCAAAUUUUAAAGUAACAAUUAUGACUAUUAGUUAUGUACCUUUUUUUUUGGUAAAAAAGUGCUUUAUAUAAAUCAUCUCAUUUUAUCCUCACAACUCUAUUUAACUUCCUUAAUCCUCACUUUAAAUCAUGAAGAAAACUCGGAAAAAGUAGAUUUUGACUUUAAAAUAGAAUAACCUAUCCCUUUCUUUAUAUGUUCUAGACAUAAGAAGAAUACGUUACUGGAAUAAAGAAAAAAUAAUGAAUUAAAAUUGUAUCUGCCAUAAAGAAUACAAAAAGAAUAUUACAAAACCCUUUUGGCCUUUUAUCAUUGGAAAUUAAAAAAAAAACUUCAUAAGCAGUUAUUUAAAACUAUUCAAAGUUAAUUUGGUCAUCCAUCCUAAUGGACAAUAAUAAACCAAACAAUUUGCAGUUUAUAUAAUGAGUUCUAUGGGCCAGAAAAAAGACUGAUUUAAUACUCAGUAUUCAUCAACUGCUUAGAUAGGAAAUCCUCUUAUUAGUAAACAAGAUUUCCCAAACAUUUGUAAAACAGGGGGUGAAAAGUGCAAGAAGUACAAUUUAUAUUGAAGGAUUUCUGAGGUGUGGGGAAAAGGGAAACACAGUCAUUUUAAAAAGGUAUAAACUAUAAGAUAAUGAAGAUGUGACCAAGCAAAUUAAUGACAUUUUUGCUCUAUCAUGAAAACAUCUUGCCAUUGUUAAUCAAGGAAAUGUUUUGAAAUUACAAACUAAAUUCAAGCAACUGUGAAAGAUUUAACUCAACU